CUAACAUCAAAUAAAUUUAUUAAAAGAAGACACUGUCCACGCCAUGGCCGGAAAAUUGCCAAAAUCGUAGUCACCAUCAGUUUAUAAAAAUUAGAUGGAUAACGAUAAUGGGAGACCUAACCAAGAAGCCAAUAUGGAUACUAAGGAUUGAAGAAAUGGACUGCCGCAAGAGUCACGCGAAAGAUUUUUCAACCAGAUAAUGGACUCGUUAAAAAAACAUUAUUCUGGUUAUGGUGAAGAGGGAUUGCAUAUACUUCAUUUAUAUGCUAAAAGGUUUGAAGAGAAGAUGUUUACUACUUCAACAAGUUGGCCUGAUUAUUUAUUGAAAAUAUCUUCGAAAAUACGUGAGAUGGAGACUAAAUCCCAAGGCACCAGGGCCAACCCACCAAAUCAAGGUGGUUAACUAGGAGUUGUUUCUAGUUGAAAUUAAGUUAUUGGAACUGUAUUGUAUUGUGUGAUUUUUUUCACCCAAAUACACAUGGACGCAAAACUUCCU
This is a non-coding RNA of Vigna umbellata (rice bean), 496 nucleotides long. Lineage: Eukaryota; Viridiplantae; Streptophyta; Magnoliopsida; Fabales; Fabaceae. The record is from RefSeq and is a predicted model, not a curated record.